AACGAACGCUGGCGGCAUGCCUAACACAUGCAAGUCGAACGAGACCUUCGGGUCUAGUGGCGCACGGGUGCGUAACGCGUGAGAACCUGCCCUUAGGUUCGGAAUAACUCCCCGACAGGGGUGCUAAUACCGGAUAAUGUCUUCGGCCCAAAGAUUUAUCGCCUUUGGAUGGGCCCGCGUUGGAUUAGCUAGUUGGUAGGGUAAAAGCCUACCAAGGCGACGAUCCAUAGCUGGUCUGAGAGGAUGAUCAGUCACACUGGGACUGAGACACGGCCCAGACUCCUACGGGAGGCAGCAGUGGGGAAUAUUGGACAAUGGGCGAAAGCCUGAUCCAGCAAGGCCGCGUGAGUGAUGAAGGCCUUAGGGUUGUAAAGCUCUUUUACCCGGGAUGAUAAUGACAGUACCGGGAGAAUAAGCUCCGGCUAACUCCGUG
This 433-nucleotide ribosomal RNA is filed under the name uncultured bacterium. RNAcentral's name for it is "partial 16S ribosomal RNA". It matches the Rfam family "Bacterial small subunit ribosomal RNA", at positions 29 to 507 of the family's 1533-position model. The record is from RNAcentral.